Molecule: ribosomal RNA, 531 nt
Filed under: Pseudo-nitzschia abrensis
Lineage: Eukaryota; Bacillariophyta; Bacillariophyceae; Bacillariales; Bacillariaceae
Description: LSU rRNA
Rfam family: Eukaryotic large subunit ribosomal RNA
Source: RNAcentral
GGCGGACUACACGAUACCCCUAGUACGGCGAGUGAAGCGGGUCUAGCUCAAGAUGUAAAUCUGCACUGUAACGGUGCCGAAUUGUGGUCUAAAGACUUUGGCGCUAUUCUGCCGGGGCAAGUUCCUUGGAAAAGGACACCUUAGAGGGUGACAGUCCCGUUCCCCUGGUAGAUUGAGUCAGAUGUCAACGAGUCGAGUUGUUUGGGAUUGCAGCUCUAAUUUGGUGGUAAAUUCCAUCUAAAGCUAAAUAUUGGUGGGAAACCGAUAGCGUACAAGUACCGUGAGGGAAAGAUGCAAAGAACUUUGAAAAGAGAGUUAAAGAGUACCUGAAACCGCUGAAAUGGAAGCGAAGGAAACCAGUGUAAGUCCUUUUCAUAUUUCCCUGGCCGCUUGCGGUCUGGGCGCUGUGGAGGGGCGUUGUUUGUCGUGGUUGUUUCCGGUGGAAGAGCUUGGUUGGCUUCGGCCUUCCUGUGCUAGCGCCGGUCUUGACUCCGACAGACGAAAUGGUUUUCUUUACCCCGUCUUGAAACC